Molecule: transfer RNA, 78 nt
Filed under: Methanosarcina sp.
Lineage: Archaea; Methanobacteriati; Methanobacteriota; Methanomicrobia; Methanosarcinales; Methanosarcinaceae
Description: tRNA-Glu
Rfam family: tRNA
About the family: Transfer RNA (tRNA) molecules are approximately 80 nucleotides in length. Their secondary structure includes four short double-helical elements and three loops (D, anti-codon, and T loops).
Source: RNAcentral
GCUCCGGUAGUGUAGCCCGGCCAAUCAUUCCGGCCUUUCGAGCCGAAGACUCGGGUUCGAAUCCCGGCCGGAGCACCA